This 213-nucleotide long non-coding RNA is filed under the name Malus domestica (apple). RNAcentral describes it as "long non-coding RNA (MDOM_LNC015140)". Lineage: Eukaryota; Viridiplantae; Streptophyta; Magnoliopsida; Rosales; Rosaceae. The record is from RNAcentral.
GCCUCAGUACUAGACAGAACCCUAGAAGGAGGAGGCAUCAGAGGUUGAUCAUUUGGAGCUUCAUUACGCGGUACAGCCCCAGAAGACGAAGGCAAUAAAUGCCUUUGGAACAAACCCACAAAUCUCUGAUGAUCAAGUAAAACCUGACCAUCAGUUUCCUUCAUCUGGUCAAGCUUCCUCUUCAUGUUUGUAGCAUAGUCAUGUGCGAGCAGG